AAUGAACGCUGGCGGCAUGCCUAACACAUGCAAGUCGAACGAAGGCUUCGGCCUUAGUGGCGCACGGGUGCGUAACGCGUGGGAAUCUGCCCUCAGGUUCGGAAUAACAGCGAGAAAUUGCUGCUAAUACCGGAUGAUAUCGCGAGAUCAAAGAUUUAUCGCCUGAGGAUGAGCCCGCGUAGGAUUAGCUAGUUGGUGUGGUAAAGGCGCACCAAGGCGACGAUCCUUAGCUGGUCUGAGAGGAUGAUCAGCCACACUGGGACUGAGACACGGCCCAGACUCCUACGGGAGGCAGCAGUGGGGAAUAUUGGACAAUGGGCGAAAGCCUGAUCCAGCAAUGCCGCGUGAGUGAUGAAGGCCUUAGGGUUGUAAAGCUCUUUUACCCGGGAUGAUAAUGACAGUACCGGGAGAAUAAGCUCCGGCUAACUCCGUGCCAGCAGCCGCGGUAAUACGGAGGGAGCUAGCGUUAUUCGGAAUUACUGGGCGUAAAGCGCACGUAGGCGGCUUUGUAAGUUAGAGGUGAAAGCCUGGAGCUCAACUCCAGAAUUGCCUUUAAGACUGCAUCGCUUGAAUCCAGGAGAGGUGAGUGGAAUUCCGAGUGUAGAGGUGAAAUUCGUAGAUAUUCGGAAGAACACCAGUGGCGAAGGCGGCUCACUGGACUGGUAUGACGCUGA
This 674-nucleotide ribosomal RNA is filed under the name alpha proteobacterium IMCC14310. RNAcentral's name for it is "bacterial SSU rRNA". It matches the Rfam family "Bacterial small subunit ribosomal RNA", at positions 28 to 749 of the family's 1533-position model. RNAcentral also lists the same sequence under 1 other name. The record is from RNAcentral. Lineage: Bacteria; Pseudomonadati; Pseudomonadota; Alphaproteobacteria.